UCCAACCAUCUAGAGUAUAGACUGAAAAAACAUGAAAAAGAAAACCCCCACCCACGCCAAAUACCCAAACCCUACCUCCUCCCAUUGCACUCUUCCCCGCACCCGCAUCUCCUCUUUGCGCUCCCAAGCCCUAGGGUUAGCCGCCGCCGCCGACGACCUUAUUCCGACGAGCUCCGGCGGCCAUGGCCUGUGCGCAGCAUGCUGCGGAGCUCACCUCGCACCGCUUCGUCAAUCCCUCCAUCCAUAUCUGCCCUCCAUGCCUCCAAUGCUCGCGCUAAACCCAUCCCCCACGGCUAGGGUUCGGGGCACGGCCUCGUCUCCGCCAUCGGCGUUGCGUUGCGGAGCCUCAUAGAUCUUACAGAGCCUAACACCGGCCAGCGACCAGCUCCUAGGUUUUCUCCUUCUAUGCUGCCGCCACCAUCGGCUUGAUAUCCGGCCAUCGGUGUCCCUCUCUCCUCUCGCCGGUGGUUUGAGAUCCGCCUGGUCCCUGAAGCACUCCAUCCAAAUCUCCACCUCCCACCUCCGAGUGCGUGGAAAUCUUCCACGAUUUGCAUCCCCCAUCAUGAACUGGUUGUCGUCCGAGCUGCCUCUCCUGCAGCUGGGUGCGGCUUCUCCACGGACGCCCACUAGUUUCCCCUCAUGCAACCAGACCUACAUGGUCAACAAAGACCAACCACUGAUUCUCCCUCCAUCGAGCAUAUCUUUGCCACCGACGCCGCCGUCCUACUUUUACUCCACUCCCGAACUGAGGUACCUCUGUCCUUUGCGUCUCAACUUUUUCUUGCUACAUUGAUCCAAUAUCACUUGUUUUUAUGUUCUCCUACAUUCCUUGUUGUAGAAAUUUGAUAUUCUGUUUCGGAUACAAGUGUUGCUUGUCCAUACGUGUGAGUUGCGUUGCCUUCAUGCAUGUACGAGGUGUUGAUAGCUUCACAGGUUUCUAUAUUCAGGGAGCAAGAGAGAUGAGGCGCCGAUCCCGGAGGAGGUGUCCAAAUACUCAUGUGUGUGCUAUGGUUGUGCUCAGUUUGUUGUUGAGUAUAUGUUGGUCCUAAUAUCCCCUUGGUUGCAAUGCUUCUCCUAACUAUGGAUACUGUUUAGUGCUCCUAUUUAUACAUGACUUAUGAUGAUGCUAUGGUAGGGUUUCUGUAAGCUAUUAUUUAUGAUUUAGGCGAUGUACUGUGUACACACUUGCUACUUGUUAUUGGCAUGGUCUCUAUUGUUAGCAGCAAAUGCUUAACUAUAAUUUCUAGAAUUGGUCAUGAGCUAAAAUUACUAUGAUCGAUUUUACUUGUGAUGUGCAACUACUUAAUUGGAUUGUUGUGUGUUUCCGCAUUAUGCAGAUUUACAUGUUAUCAUAUGUAUGUUGCCUGAUUGAUCGCUCAUGAUCAAAUUCUUAUAGGCGUUGGGUGGCGGCGUCCUUCCAUCACCACCUACCCCUUGGCAACUCAUUUUAUUUCUGUACCAAGUACAUCUACUUCAACUACUCCAGCCUCUAUGUGUAGGUAUUUAUGCCAUUGACCACAAACCCUAGAUUCAACUUGCUUUUUAUAAUAUGUUGUGACUUUGCACUAUGCUCUCAUUCAUCUAUGUCGAAUAGAGAUUUCAAAUGUGUCGUCAUGCUAGAGUCUGAGUCUAGUGGGGCCAGCAAUAGUGGGGAGCUGCAAAUUACCUUUCUUGAUCUGAAUUGUGAACAUAUGAUGAUUUUUUUGUUGCAAAUAAAUGGAAGGUGAUGCUUUUGCCUGUUUCUUGCUAUUCCUUAUCCUAUACGCCUAUCUUAGUUACCGUCAUUUUUCAGAACACGGCACUACUUAAACUAACCGCACGUGGCUUCAUUUUGCUCAGAAUAUUCUUACUGAGUAUAGCGAUAUUUAUUGCACCAGUAUGUGAAUCGAACCGUAUUGAAUAAUAUUUAACCACAUCAAAUGACAUUUCUUUAUUUGACAAUAGGCAUGUAAACCACAACCUUCUGUUCUGUAUGUUCUUCUCAUAUGUGAUCCUUUUAAUGUCCGGAAGUUCAUCAUUCCAGAAUCGGCUACUCAGAAGAAGUGGAAAGUGGAAGACGGACGAUGCUAUGGUUUCUCAAUUUGCUGUUACACGUGAACAAUUUAAUUUUAUGUUCUUUAAUGUGUUACAUUGAAGGCUGGACUUGUUGGAAAGUGGUUGUAUUNNNNN
Molecule: long non-coding RNA, 2169 nt
Filed under: Hordeum vulgare
Lineage: Eukaryota; Viridiplantae; Streptophyta; Magnoliopsida; Poales; Poaceae
Description: long non-coding RNA (HVUL_LNC019449)
Source: RNAcentral